AAGCUACUAAGAGCGAAUGGUGGAUGCCUUGACUGGUAGAGGCGAUGAAGGACGUACUAGACUGCGAUAAGCUAGGUGGAGCUGUCAAGAAGCUUUGAUGCCUAGAUUUCCGAAUGGGGCAACCCAGUAUAUAGAGAUAUAUACUACCAUAAUGGAGCGAACGAGGGGAAUUGAAACAUCUUAGUACCCUCAGGAAAAGAAAUCAAACGAGAUUGCGUCAGUAGCGGCGAGCGAAAGCGUAAGAGGGCAAACCCAGUGCUUGCACUGGGGGUUGUAGGACUGCAAUGUGCAAGAGGAAAGGUUAGCAGAACACUCUGGAAAGUGUAGCCAUAGAGGGUGAUAGUCCCGUAUGCAAAAACCUAACCUUAGCUAGCAGUAUCCUGAGUAGGGCGGGACACGAGAAAUCCUGUCUGAAGCUGGGUAGACCACUAUCCAACCCUAAAUACUACUACCAGAUCGAUAGCGAACAAGUACCGUGAGGGAAAGGUGAAAAGAACGGCGGUGAGCCGAGUGAAAUAGAACCUGAAACCAUUUGCUUACAAUCAUUCAGAGCACUAUGUAGCAAUACAGUGUGAUGGACUGCCUUUUGCAUAAUGAGCCUGCGAGUUGUGGUGUCUGGCAAGGUUAAGCUAACGCGAAGCCGUAGCGAAAGCGAGUCUGAAUAGGGCGCUAAGUCAGAUGCUGCAGACCCGAAACGAAGUGAUCUAUCCAUGAGCAGGUUGAAGCUAGUGUAAGAACUAGUGGAGGACCGAACCCGCUAGCGUUGAAAAGCUAUGGGAUGACUUGUGGAUAGGGGUGAAAGGCCAAUCAAACUUCGUGAUAGCUGGUUCUCUCCGAAAUAUAUUUAGGUAUAGCGUUGUGUCGUAACUAAAGGGGGUAGAGCACUGAAUGGGCUAGGGCAUACACCAAUGUACCAAACCCUAUC
This 925-nucleotide ribosomal RNA is filed under the name Campylobacter upsaliensis. RNAcentral describes it as "partial 23S ribosomal RNA". It matches the Rfam family "Bacterial large subunit ribosomal RNA", at positions 5 to 950 of the family's 2925-position model. Lineage: Bacteria; Pseudomonadati; Campylobacterota; Epsilonproteobacteria; Campylobacterales; Campylobacteraceae. The record is from RNAcentral.